AUUUUUAUGGAGAGUUUGAUCCUGGCUCAGGAUGAACGCUGGCGGCGUGCCUAAUACAUGCAAGUCGAGCGAACAGACGAGGAGCUUGCUCCUC
This 94-nucleotide ribosomal RNA is filed under the name Staphylococcus epidermidis. RNAcentral's name for it is "partial 16S ribosomal RNA". It matches the Rfam family "Bacterial small subunit ribosomal RNA", at positions 1 to 88 of the family's 1533-position model. Lineage: Bacteria; Bacillati; Bacillota; Bacilli; Caryophanales; Staphylococcaceae. The record is from RNAcentral.